RNAcentral lists this ribosomal RNA (166 nucleotides) under Hebestigma cubense var. cubense. RNAcentral describes it as "5.8S ribosomal RNA". It matches the Rfam family "5.8S ribosomal RNA". Rfam says of the family: 5.8S ribosomal RNA (5.8S rRNA) is a component of the large subunit of the eukaryotic ribosome. It is transcribed by RNA polymerase I as part of the 45S precursor that also contains 18S and 28S rRNA. The record is from RNAcentral. Lineage: Eukaryota; Viridiplantae; Streptophyta; Magnoliopsida; Fabales; Fabaceae.
UGCACAAUGACUCUCGGCAACGGAUAUCUCGGCUCUUGCAUCGAUGAAGAAUGUAGCGAAAUGCGAUACUUGGUGUGAAUUGCAGAAUCCCGUGAACCAUCGAGUCUUUGAACGCAAGUUGCGCCCGAAGCCAUUAGGUCGAGGGCACGUCUGCCUGGGCGUCACA